CCAACUUUUAAGAUGAUCCCUAACAGGAUUAAAGUCCUCCACAAGCAGGCAGAGGCAAGCUAUUCAGAAAAACAAGGUCAUGCUGCAUUUUUAUUUUUUUUUUGGUAAGCACAGGAAUCAACAAAGAGAUGUUAUAUAACUUCUAUUUAUAUCCCACUUGCUCACUAGCUGCAGGCACACACGAGUAGCUGAGGAGGGAAUUUAAUGAGCUCUCAGGGCUUGCUCACCUUCCAGAGCUGGUAGGAGCCAGCUUGUUUUUGAAGUGCGUCAGCAAAUGAAACUGGUGGUGGGUGGGUGGUUUGGGUAGGUGGACUGACUUGUUGCUAUGGUUUUCUUUAAUUCCUCUGUCUCUCAA
RNAcentral lists this small RNA (355 nucleotides) under Anser brachyrhynchus (Pink-footed goose). RNAcentral's name for it is "sRNA (ENSABRG00000014363.1)". Lineage: Eukaryota; Metazoa; Chordata; Aves; Anseriformes; Anatidae. The record is from RNAcentral.